This 425-nucleotide ribosomal RNA is filed under the name uncultured bacterium. RNAcentral describes it as "partial 16S ribosomal RNA". It matches the Rfam family "Bacterial small subunit ribosomal RNA", at positions 354 to 796 of the family's 1533-position model. The record is from RNAcentral.
GUGGGGAAUAUUGGACAAUGGGCGCAAGCCUGAUCCAGCCAUGCCGCGUGAGUGAUGAAGGCCUUAGGGUUGUAAAGCUCUUUCACCGAUGAAGAUAAUGACGGUAGUCGGAGAAGAAGCCCCGGCUAACUUCGUGCCAGCAGCCGCGGUAAUACGAAGGGGGCUAGCGUUGUUCGGAUUUACUGGGCGUAAAGCGCACGUAGGCGGAUCGUUAAGUCGGGGGUGAAAUCCUGGAGCUCAACUCCAGAACUGCCUUCGAUACUGGCGAUCUUGAGUCCGGAAGAGGUGAGUGGAACUCCUAGUGUAGAGGUGGAAUUCGUAGAUAUUAGGAAGAACACCAGUGGCGAAGGCGGCUCACUGGUCCGGUACUGACGCUGAGGUGCGAAAGCGUGGGGAGCAAACAGGAUUAGAUACCCGGGUAGUCC